This 235-nucleotide ribosomal RNA is filed under the name uncultured bacterium. Its description in RNAcentral is "partial 16S ribosomal RNA". It matches the Rfam family "Bacterial small subunit ribosomal RNA", at positions 96 to 334 of the family's 1533-position model. The record is from RNAcentral.
UGGCGGACGGGUGAGUAAUGUCUGGGAAACUGCCCGAUGGAGGGGGAUAACUACUGGAAACGGUAGCUAAUACCGCAUAACGUCGCAAGACCAAAGAGGGGGACCUUAGGGCCUCUUGCCAUCGGAUGUGCCCAGAUGGGAUUAGCUAGUAGGUGGGGUAAUGGCUCACCUAGGCGGCGAUCCCUAGCUGGUCUGAGAGGAUGACCAGCCACACUGGAACUGAGACACGGUCCAG